RNAcentral lists this unclassified non-coding RNA (756 nucleotides) under Arabidopsis thaliana (thale cress). Lineage: Eukaryota; Viridiplantae; Streptophyta; Magnoliopsida; Brassicales; Brassicaceae. The record is from RNAcentral.
CUUCAUUGGUUCAUAUUUUACAAAAUGUCGAGAAACAAUCUGUUUUUAUUUCUUAAUUCUGGUUCUUCCACUUGAGUCAAGACCUCAUUCAAACAAACAUAAAGCAUCAUCCUUACAAGGGUUGAUGAAGAAGGGAAAACAAAGCCUUUGGGACUCUAUCCAGCGUGUUGCAAUCAAGCUUUGCUAGCCUUUGUUGAAUUUUACUAGAUUGUGCAUGUGGCAAUCUAGUGAUUUUGUAUCUUUUUUCUUUCCUGAUAAGAUACAUGGAUGUGUAUAAAUGGGCGUAUAGUGAUGUGUAAGGUGCGUAUAGAUGAAUGUAUAGGCGUAGAUGAAUGUAUAGAUGCAUGUAUAGGCGUAGAUGAAUGUUUAGUGAUGUGUAAGGUGUGCGCAUAGAUGAAUGUAUAGGCAUAGAUGUAUGUAUAGGCGUAGAUGAAUAUGUAGGUGUAGAUGGGCGUAUUAGUAGAGUGUGUGAGCGUAGAACAUUAGACAAACGAGGGACAAAAAUGCGCAACGCGGGCCGUAGCCAAAGAAAAAACGCGAAGCUUAACAAAACACAAAAAAAAAACAGACGCCAAAUCGCAAAGUCAAAGCGACAUAGUCGAAACAUGUAACAAAUGGCAAAAACAAAUAAAGCAUAGUUGAAACUCUAACAAAGACAAGAUUAAUCCGUGUCGAAAGACAAAAUUAAUCUAAGUCGAAAUUAUCAAAAACACUUUAAAAAUAAAAAACAACUGAAAAAGUUAUUAAAGCGACUUC